CGGGCGACGCGGCGGUCUAAGUCCCUUGGAACGGGGCGUCAUAGAGGGUGAGAAUCCCGUAUGCGACCGGUGGCGGAGCCCAUGCGAAACCCCUUCGACGAGUCGAGUUGUUUGGGAAUGCAGCUCCAAACGGGUGGUAAAUUUCAUCUAAAGCUAAAUACUGGCCAGAGACCGAUAGCGCACAAGUAGAGUGAUCGAAAGAUGAAAAGCACUUUGGAAAGAGAGUCAAACAGUACGUGAAAUUGUUGAAAGGGAAGCGCUUGCAACCAGACCUGCCCGCGGGUGAUCAACCGUCCUUCGGGGCGGUGCACUCGCCCGCGAUCAGGCCAGCAUCGGUUCGGGCGGUCGGAUAAAGGCCCUGGGAACGUGGCUCCCUUCGGGGAGUGUUAUAGCCCUCGGCGCAAUGCGACCUGCCCGGACCGAGGACCGCGCUUCGGCGAGGAUGCUGGCAUAAUGGUUGUAAGCGGCCCGUCUUGAAACACGGACCAAGGAGUCGACCAACUAUGCGAGUGUUUGGGCGUCAAACCCACACGCGCAAUGAAAGUGAACGGAGGUGGGAACCCCUUCGCGGGGGCGCACCAUCGACCGAUCCAGAUGUCUUCGGAUGGAUUUGAGUACGAGCAUAGCUGGUCGGACCCGAAAGAUGAUGAACUAUGCCUGAAUAGGGUGAAGCCAGAGGAAACUCUGGUGGAGGCUCGCAGCGGUUCUGACGUGCAAAUCGAUCGUCAAAUUUGGGCAUAGGGGCGAAAGANUAAUNGAAUCAUC
RNAcentral lists this ribosomal RNA (765 nucleotides) under Flavoplaca oasis. RNAcentral's name for it is "LSU rRNA". It matches the Rfam family "Eukaryotic large subunit ribosomal RNA", at positions 165 to 944 of the family's 3401-position model. Lineage: Eukaryota; Fungi; Ascomycota; Lecanoromycetes; Teloschistales; Teloschistaceae. The record is from RNAcentral.